Molecule: ribosomal RNA, 136 nt
Filed under: uncultured bacterium
Lineage: Bacteria
Description: partial 16S ribosomal RNA
Rfam family: Bacterial small subunit ribosomal RNA
Source: RNAcentral
CCUACGGGAGGCAGCAGUGAGGAAUUUUGCGCAAUGGGCGAAAGCCUGACGCAGCGACGCCGCGUGGAGGAAGUCGUCCUUUGGGUUGUAAACUCCUGUCAGGGGUGAAGAAACUCGCAAGAAGCUGACGUAACCC